This 497-nucleotide ribosomal RNA is filed under the name uncultured bacterium. RNAcentral describes it as "partial 16S ribosomal RNA". It matches the Rfam family "Bacterial small subunit ribosomal RNA", at positions 28 to 507 of the family's 1533-position model. The record is from RNAcentral.
GAUGAACGCUGGCGGCGUGCCUAAUACAUGCAAGUCGAGCGAACGGACGAGAAGCUUGCUUCUCUGAUGUUAGUGGCGGACGGGUGAGUAACACGUGGAUAACCUACCUAUAAGACUGGGAUAACUUCGGGAAACCGGAGCUAAUACCGGAUAAUAUUUUGAACCGCAUGGUUCAAAAGUGAAAGACGGUCUUGCUGUCACUUAUAGAUGGAUCCGCGCUGCAUUAGCUAGUUGGUAAGGUAACGGCUUACCAAGGCAACGAUGCAUAGCCGACCUGAGAGGGUGAUCGGCCACACUGGAACUGAGACACGGUCCAGACUCCUACGGGAGGCAGCAGUAGGGAAUCUUCCGCAAUGGGCGAAAGCCUGACGGAGCAACGCCGCGUGAGUGAUGAAGGUCUUCGGAUCGUAAAACUCUGUUAUUAGGGAAGAACAUAUGUGUAAUUAACUGUGCACAUCUUGACGGUACCUAAUCAGAAAGCCACGGCUAACUACGUG